GCAGAUGUGUAUAAGAGACAGGUUAAUAAUACCAAUCAUAUCUCUUAAUACACAUAUUCACAUGAACUCAUAAUCCUUCAUUGCUUAUUUUCAACAUUUCAAUACUCUCUCCUAAUGCCAACCACCGUAUCAUUUAAACAUACCUAAUAAUUUCAUUAUUCAAUUUCCUCUCCCAUUUUUAUUUUUUAAAUAAAAAUUCUCAUUUUGCAAGCAGUGUGAUUCCAGGUUUCACGUCUCAAUACAAACAUGAUGACCAUAGUUACCUAUUCAUUUUAUUUAUUCAAUUUCAUAUC
Molecule: non-coding RNA, 293 nt
Organism: Notechis scutatus (mainland tiger snake)
Lineage: Eukaryota; Metazoa; Chordata; Lepidosauria; Squamata; Elapidae
Source: RefSeq, a predicted model, not a curated record